GCCGGAGUGGCGGAAUUGGCAGACGCGCCGGAUUCAAAAUCCGGUUCCCGUUUAGGGAGUAUGGGUUCGAGUCCCAUCUCCGGUA
RNAcentral lists this transfer RNA (85 nucleotides) under Phycisphaerales bacterium. RNAcentral's name for it is "tRNA-Leu". It matches the Rfam family "tRNA". From Rfam's summary of the family: Transfer RNA (tRNA) molecules are approximately 80 nucleotides in length. The record is from RNAcentral. Lineage: Bacteria; Pseudomonadati; Planctomycetota; Phycisphaerae; Phycisphaerales.